CUCGUAGGCGGUUCGUCGCGUCCGGUGUGAAAGUCCAUCGCUUAACGGUGGAUCUGCGCCGGGUACGGGCGGGCUGGAGUGCGGUAGGGGAGACUGGAAUUCCCGGUGUAACGGUGGAAUGUGUAGAUAUCGGGAAGAACACCAAUGGCGAAGGCAGGUCUCUGGGCCGUUACUGACACUGAGGAGCGAAAGCGUGGGGAGCGAACA
Molecule: ribosomal RNA, 207 nt
Filed under: uncultured bacterium
Lineage: Bacteria
Description: partial 16S ribosomal RNA
Rfam family: Bacterial small subunit ribosomal RNA
Source: RNAcentral